This 339-nucleotide unclassified non-coding RNA is filed under the name soil metagenome. RNAcentral describes it as "partial contains 5.8S ribosomal RNA, internal transcribed spacer 2, and large subunit ribosomal RNA". The stretch from base 1 to 120 matches the Rfam family "5.8S ribosomal RNA", at positions 35 to 154 of the family's 154-position model. The record is from RNAcentral.
GAUGAAGAACGCAGCGAAAUGCGAUAACUAAUGUGAAUUGCAGAAUUCAGUGAAUCAUCGAGUCUUUGAACGUACAUUGCGCCCCCUGGUAUUCCGGGGGGCAUGCCUGUCCGAGCGUCAUUGCUGCCCUCAAGCACGGCUUGUGUGUUGGGCUCCGUCCCCCCGGGGACGGGCCCGAAAGGCAGCGGCGGCACCGAGUCCGGUCCUCGAGCGUAUGGGGCUUUGUCACCCGCUCUGUAGGCCCGGCCGGCGCCAGCCGACAACCCAUCAUCCUUUUCAGGUUGACCUCGGAUCAGGUAGGGAUACCCGCUGAACUUAAGCAUAUCAAUAAGCGGAGGA